Molecule: long non-coding RNA, 3000 nt
Filed under: Homo sapiens (human)
Lineage: Eukaryota; Metazoa; Chordata; Mammalia; Primates; Hominidae
Description: PREDICTED lncRNA (TCONS_00174948)
Source: RNAcentral
CCGGCCCCCCGCUCCCGGCCAGCGCUCCCCGCGCCCCGCGCCCCAGCCCCGGGCCUUACCGUGCGCGGGGCAGCCCCGGCAGGCCCAGUCGGGCUGGAAGCCGCCGCUGGCUCAGAGCCGCAUCCCGGCCCGCGGACGCAGGGGGCGCGCGGCCGGUCCCCGGAGGCGCUGGGUCCAGGCCGAGGAUGGUUUUGCUCCCCGCUCCGCUCCGCAUUUAGGAGGUGGGAGGAGCGCGCGGCGAUGCGCACAGGAAAUCUGAUAGGUGAGGAGGCCGGCGGGCCGCGCAGGGCGGCGCGGGCUGGGGGACGCGGCGGGCGGCUCCGGGAGGCGACGGGACCCCCAGGCCGGCAGCCGAGUGAAGAGGCAGGAACUGUCUACAAAUGCUCCGGCUCCGAAGCCCCGAGGGAAAGAGCAUCUUUCACGGAGCACCAGGAAUUGACGACGGUGGAAUUUGCUCAGAUCCCCUGAGGCCGGUUCUUUGAGUUUCUGUCUGGCCCUCCGGGAGAACCGUCCCAAAGUUAACUUUGAAAACACUCACAGGAGAGGGAAGGCUGUGGGGUCCUUCGCUUCUCAAACCCCAGAUGCCCCCGGAAAGAACACCGCCCCCGACCACCACCACAACCAGAUGUUUUUAAAAAGAGAUGCUAAGCAAAAGGCCUGAUUAUGAGGAAUGAGCCAAAGUCAUGCAAGGCGUGGGGCGCUAUGGGACUGCGCAGUGACGACCCAGUGAAGUAGAUGCCUUGACGAUUCCCAUUUCACGGAUGAGACGACUCCGGCACAGAGAAGUCAGAGGGCCUGUCCUGGGUCACACAGCCACAGGCGGCCCCCAGAACGGGACUUCAGGGUGCACCACUGCACCCCAGCAGAGACCUCCGCCUGGCACACAGGGAAUGCUGGAGCAAUACUUAAAUAGCAUGGCAGCUUUUCGUGUUUGGAAGCCUUCAGAAUCAUUUCCUACCCUCUCAAGGAACCCAUUCUUUAGAGGUACACACCGUUCCUGUCAGAGAGGCUAUCUUCCUAGUGCUAAAUGAUUUUUUGAUGCACUGAAAAUUAAAUUCACACUCAAAUUUCUGCAUUUGAGGAGAUUUUCCUGUACGCUGAGCUCUGUCAAAAGAGGUAUAUUGAAGAGAGGGUAGUUCUGGGACCAUUUGCAAGACAGCGCAUUGAUUGGAAGCCUAUACAUUCUGGAGUGUUGGCUUAAUAUGUUGAUCAUCCUUUGAGGUGGGGCACAAGGAAAAAUAAACUAUUUCUCCUUCAGGAACAUACAGUGGCAUAAGAGAGACCAACUUGGUGAUAACUGAUCAUAGGAUUAGACCAAGGUGCAGAAGCAAACAGAACCUCCAUAAAAUGUAAUGAUGUCUUGUGCCUGCAAUCCUAGUGCUUUCAGAGGCCAAGGUGGGAAGAUUCCUUGAGCUCAGGAGUUCGAGACCAGCCUGAACAACACAACAAGACCUCGUAUCUAUGAAAAAAUAAAAAUAAUAAAAUUAGCUGCACACCUAUUUGGUGGCACACACCUGUGGUCCCAGGUACUCGGGAGGCUGAGAUGAGAUCAUUUGAGCCCAGGAGAUCAAGGCUGCAAUCAGCUGUGAUCAUGCCACUGCCCUCCAGCCUGGACAACUGAGCGAGACCCUGUCUCCAAAAAAAGUAAAAUUAAAAAAAAAAUUAAAAUGUGAUGGAGUGCAGAGGAAAGGUCAGUUGAUUCUCACUAAGGGUUGGACUUCAUUGGUGAUUUUCUGUCUUUUUAAGAGUUAGAAACUCCUUUUUCAAAUGAAACGUGUAUGGACCUCCAAUGUCUUCAGCCAGGUCAGAGAUGUUUUGUUGGGGACGGGGGCUUCCAGCCCACUGAACACCCCUGUCCUGCCAUAGCCCCAGAGGUACCACCUUGGGCUCUGCCCAGUGCUGCUUCAACACCUCCAGAUGGGAGGAGAGGGACCUUUCCUUCCAGUUCUAACCCCCACAUCAGUCAAGGGAACCCUGUACAAAAUGCUGAGAAAGCCAAAGAAAGUCAGAGUGCAGGCAGCUUCUUGUGACUUACUGCGGGGGCUCCUUGUGUCUCCCCUCCUCCUGCCUGUUAGACUUCUCCUUGCUGGCUGGGCCCACGCGUGGAUGCACGGGUGCGGAGGAUGGGAACCCAGGAUCACUCAGCAACGUGCUUCUUGUCAGCUUCCUGCAAAGGGGAGAAAUCACGCGUCAACCAGAAGCUUUUAAGUGAAAAUCUGAGGACCUCCUACCUUCAUCCACCAGAAUGCUGCAGCUUUCAAAGUACUUUCUAGACAAUGUCAUUCAAGCUUGUGAUAAUCCCACUGGGUGGGAUGAGUGGGAGGUGUUAUUAUUUCACAGAUGAAAUUGAGGUUCGUUGGUGACUGAGCACCUCUUGUCACCUCACUGUCCCAUGUCCACAAUGGAGAUGCAGGAAAGGUGCUUUGAACUUUGGUCAGCACCUAGUAAGCCCUCAGUGCACGUUAGCACUGGUCAUUCGGUAGUGACCCAGGAGCUCAUCACUAGGAAGUGGCGGACUGGGAAGCAGAAUCAGACCUCCAAAUUCCCCCCAGGACCUGUCGCUCACUCUGCUAUUUGAGUGUCCAGCCCAGAAGCAUUUUCGGAUCUCCAAAAUAAAGUCAAAAGUGCUAGCAAUGCUUGGUGAAUUAAUAACAUGUGAUGUUGGCCAGGCACAGCGGCUCACGCCUAUAAUCCCAGCACUUUGGGAGGCCGAGGCGGGUGGAUCACGAAGUAAGGAGAUCGAGACCUUCUUGGCUAACACGGUGAAACCCCGUCUCUACUAAAAAUACAAAAAAUUAGCCGGGCGCGGUGGCGGGCGCCUGUAGUCCCAGCUACUGGGGAGGCUGAGGCAGGAGAAUGGCGUGAACCUGGGAGGCGGAGCUUGCAGUGAGCUGAGAUGGCACCACUGCAGUCCGGCCUGGGCGAAAGAGUGAGACUCCAUCUCAAAAAUUAAUUAAUUAAUUAAUUAAUUAAAAAAUAAAACAACACUGUGAUGUUAAG